AUUUACAACAUACAAACCAACAACCCAUGAGCCAACACAAGAUUCCAAAACAAUCUGGGGAAGAAAAGCAGAACUUCCGUCGGGGCUAUAUAGCAAAUCACCUGCGAUAGACUGAAAAUGGCAACCCAUUGGUCAGAAACAUCCACCAACAGCUCUACACAUCAGAAACAAGACAAAUCCAGAGUCCAGUCAAACUAAAUCAAGAACAUCAACACUAGAAAACCCAUUGUUCCUUUGUAGCCUGAGAAAAGCCAAAUGAGCUCAUCAACUGCUUGAGUUUCUCGUGUUGAGACACUCGGUAAGGAUGACAAAGUUGGACUCCAGUGGGUUGCUAGACAACAUAAGGUGCUUACCAUUAACAGGAAUUUUGAUCCUUACCUGAUGCCACCCUGGAUGCACGAGGCUGUCGAUUCUUAAUCCAGCUAUGGGUACCCCCAAAACAUAUCGGUAUUUAAAUGACCUCACCAUACAAGCUCUUAGAUCUUCAAGAAACCAAACAAACCCAAAAGACUAUAAACAACUCAGUUCGGAGAGGGGAGGGUAACCCAUUCCCCUGCUGGAGAGACCACCAUUCCCUGCCCAGAGCAGGGAAUGACCACUGGAGACCGUCCUUUGAGAGAAACCAAAACCUGAGUUAUAGAGAAAAUUCUCUUCCUAGUUUACUAGAGAGAGACGUUG
Molecule: unclassified non-coding RNA, 678 nt
Filed under: Hevea brasiliensis (rubber tree)
Lineage: Eukaryota; Viridiplantae; Streptophyta; Magnoliopsida; Malpighiales; Euphorbiaceae
Source: RNAcentral